RNAcentral lists this ribosomal RNA (460 nucleotides) under uncultured bacterium. Its description in RNAcentral is "partial 16S ribosomal RNA". It matches the Rfam family "Bacterial small subunit ribosomal RNA", at positions 338 to 795 of the family's 1533-position model. The record is from RNAcentral.
CCUACGGGAGGCAGCAGUGAGGAAUAUUGGUCAAUGGGCGCGAGCCUGAACCAGCCAAGUAGCGUGAAGGAUGACUGCCCUACGGGUUGUAAACUUCUUUUAUAUAGGAAUAAAGUGAGGCACGUGUGCCUUUUUGUAUGUACUUUAUGAAUAAGGAUCGGCUAACUACGUGCCAGCAGCCGCGGUAAUACGGAGGAUCCGAGCGUUAUCCGGAUUUAUUGGGUUUAAAGUGAGCGUAGAUGGGUUGUUAAGUCAGUUGUGAAAGUUUGCGGCUCAACCGUAAAAUUGCAAUUGAUACUGGCAGCCUUGAGUACAGUUGAGGCAAGCGGAAUUCGUGGUGUAGCGGUGAAAUGCUUAGAUAUCACGAAGAACACCGAUGGCGAAGGCAGCUUACUAAACUGCAACUGACGUUGAGGCUCGAAAGUGUGGGGAGCAAACAGGAUUAGAUACCCUGGUAGUC